UAGGGAAUAUUGCUCAAUGGGCGAAAGCCUGAAGCAGCAACGCCGCGUGUGUGAUGAAGGCCUUCGGGUCGUAAAGCACUUUUCUGGGAGAUGAGAAAGGACAGUAUCCCAGGAAUAAGUCUCGGCUAACUACGUGCCAGCAGCCGCGGUAAAACGUAGGAGGCGAGCGUUAUCCGGAUUCACUGGGCGUAAAGCGCGUGCAGGUGGCGCGGUAAGUUGGGCGUGAAAUCUCCCGGCUCAACUGGGAGAGGUCGUCCAAUACUACCGUGCUUGAGAGCAGAAGAGGAAGAUGGAAUUCCCGGUGUAGUGGUGAAAUGCGUAGAUAUCGGGAGGAACACCAGUGGCGAAGGCGAUCUUCUGGUCUGUUUCUGACACUCAGACGCGACAGCUAGGGUAGUAAACGGGAUUAGAGACCCCGGUAAUCCUAGCCGUAAACGAUGUGAACUUGGCGUUGGUGGGUUAAACUCCAUCAGUGCCGUAGCAAACGCGAUAAGUUCC
RNAcentral lists this ribosomal RNA (498 nucleotides) under uncultured Chloroflexota bacterium. RNAcentral's name for it is "bacterial SSU rRNA". It matches the Rfam family "Bacterial small subunit ribosomal RNA", at positions 355 to 868 of the family's 1533-position model. The record is from RNAcentral. Lineage: Bacteria; Bacillati; Chloroflexota.